UUAUUAAUGCUCGGAGCUCUGAUGCGAACUGUGGGUGGACGCUGGAAAUGUUGAUUGCCUGCGUCCACCCACAUUUCGCAUCAGAGCUCCGAGCAUUAAUAA
Molecule: non-coding RNA, 102 nt
Organism: Dictyostelium firmibasis
Lineage: Eukaryota; Evosea; Eumycetozoa; Dictyosteliales; Dictyosteliaceae
Source: the annotation of a GenBank genome assembly